GUUGAACGCUGGCGGAAUGCUUUACACAUGCAAGUCGAACGGCAGCACGGACUUCGGUCUGGUGGCGAGUGGCGAACGGGUGAGUAACAUAUCGGAACGUAUCCAAUAAUGGGGGAUAACGAGUCGAAAGAUUCGCUAAUACCGCAUACGCCCUACGGGGGAAAGCUGGGGACCUUCGGGCCUGGCGUUAAUGGAGCGGCCGAUAUCUGAUUAGCUAGUUGGUGAGGUAAAGGCUCACCAAGGCGACGAUCAGUAGCUGGUCUGAGAGGACGACCAGCCACACUGGAACUGAGGAACGGUCCAGACUCCUACGGGAGGCAGCAGUGGGGAAUUUUGGACAAUGGGCGCAAGCCUGAUUCAGCCAUUCCGCGUGAGUGAAGAAGGCCUUCGGGUUGUAAAGCUCUUUCGCAAGGGAAGAAAACUUAGCCACUAACAUUGGUUGAGGUUGACGGUACCUUGAUAAGAAGCACCGGCUAACUACGUGCCAGCAGCCGCCGUAA
RNAcentral lists this ribosomal RNA (500 nucleotides) under uncultured bacterium. RNAcentral describes it as "partial 16S ribosomal RNA". It matches the Rfam family "Bacterial small subunit ribosomal RNA", at positions 28 to 523 of the family's 1533-position model. The record is from RNAcentral.